This 253-nucleotide ribosomal RNA is filed under the name uncultured bacterium. Its description in RNAcentral is "partial 16S ribosomal RNA". It matches the Rfam family "Bacterial small subunit ribosomal RNA", at positions 524 to 776 of the family's 1533-position model. The record is from RNAcentral.
UACGGGGGAUGCAAGCGUUAUCCGGAAUCAUUGGGCGUAAAGCGCCUGUAGGUUGUUUAAUAAGUCUGUUGUUAAAGACUGGGGCUUAACCCCAGGAAAGCAAUGGAAACUAUUAGACUUGAGUAUGGCAGGGGUAGAGGGAAUUUCUAGUGUAGCGGUGAAAUGCGUAGAUAUUAGAAAGAACACCGGUGGCGAAAGCGCUCUACUGGACCAUUACUGACACUCAGAGGCGAAAGCUAGGGUAGCAAAAGGG